This 99-nucleotide non-coding RNA is filed under the name bovine gut metagenome. Its description in RNAcentral is "THF riboswitch". It matches the Rfam family "THF (Tetrahydrofolate) riboswitch aptamer". Rfam says of the family: THF riboswitch presents a pseudoknot that joins P1-P2 and the loop of P3 and two THF binding. The record is from RNAcentral.
GCAGAGUAGGUGCCGAUGCGUUAAGUGUCCGCCGGACAGGGAGUUGCCGGGGGAACGAAAGCUUAAAAGCUUGCGGUAUCGGUUUCCGCAUCCCGCUGC